GUACAAGUGUAUCAAGACAAUAGAUCGUGUUUGGCUUUGCUGAACUCGGAGAGUUGCAAGCAAAGGACCAAGUACUUGCAGGUUAAGCUACAUCGUGCAAGAGAGUGUAUUCAGAAAGGACUCAUUCAGGUGUCCUACAUGGCAGGAAAUGAAAUUCCUGCUGAUCUGUUGUCUAAGGUUGUUAACAGAGAACAACUUAAGGUUUAUGUACAAAGGUUGCAAUUGGGUUGAACCACAGGUACUACAGGUUACACGGAAAGGGGGAGGAUGUUAGGAUAUUUCCGUUCCACCUUAAAAGGGAGCAGGCUUUGUGAGUCAGAGUCUGCGUAUUUCCUGUUCACAGGAUGUUUAUGUUUUCUGUUGCUUUCGUUUUCUCUCUG
Non-coding RNA from Podarcis lilfordi (Lilford's wall lizard), 380 nucleotides. Lineage: Eukaryota; Metazoa; Chordata; Lepidosauria; Squamata; Lacertidae. The record is from the annotation of a GenBank genome assembly.